GAUGAACGCUGGCGGCGUGCCUAAUACAUGCAAGUCGAGCGAACAGACGAGGAGCUUGCUCCUCUGACGUUAGCGGCGGACGGGUGAGUAACACGUGGAUAACCUACCUAUAAGACUGGGAUAACUUCGGGAAACCGGAGCUAAUACCGGAUAACAUGUUGAACCGCAUGGUUCAACAGUGAAAGACGGUCUUGCUGUCACUUAUAGCUGGAUCCGCGCCGCAUUAGCUAGUUGGUAAGGUAACGGCUUACCAAGGCAACGAUGCGUAGCCGACCUGAGAGGGUGAUCGGCCACACUGGAACUGAGACACGGUCCAGACUCCUACGGGAGGCAGCAGUAGGGAAUCUUCCGCAAUGGGCGAAAGCCUGACGGAGCAACGCCGCGUGAGUGAUGAAGGUCUUCGGAUCGUAAAACUCUGUUAUUAGGGAAGAACAAAUGUGUAAGUAACUAUGCACGUCUUGACGGUACCUAAUCAGAAAGCCACGGCUAACUACGUG
RNAcentral lists this ribosomal RNA (497 nucleotides) under uncultured bacterium. Its description in RNAcentral is "partial 16S ribosomal RNA". It matches the Rfam family "Bacterial small subunit ribosomal RNA", at positions 28 to 507 of the family's 1533-position model. The record is from RNAcentral.